GACGAACGCUGGCGGCGUGCUUAACACAUGCAAGUCGAACGGAAAGGCCCUGCUUUUGUGGGGUGCUCGAGUGGCGAACGGGUGAGUAACACGUGAGUAACCUGCCCUUGACUUUGGGAUAACUUCAGGAAACUGGGGCUAAUACCGGAUAGGAGCUCCUGCUGCAUGGUGGGGGUUGGAAAGUUUCGGCGGUUGGGGAUGGACUCGCGGCUUAUCAGCUUGUUGGUGGGGUAGUUGCUUACCAAGGCUUUGACGGGUAGCCGGCCUGAGAGGGCGACCGGCCACAUUGGGACUGAGAUACGGCCCAGACUCCUACGGGAGGCAGCAGUGGGGAAUAUUGCACAAUGGGCGGAAGCCUGAUGCAGCAACGCCGCGUGCGGGAUGACGGCCUUCGGGUUGUAAACCGCUUUCGCCUGUGACGAAGCGUGAGUGACGGUAAUGGGUAAAGAAGCACCGGCUAACUACGUG
Molecule: ribosomal RNA, 468 nt
Filed under: uncultured bacterium
Lineage: Bacteria
Description: partial 16S ribosomal RNA
Rfam family: Bacterial small subunit ribosomal RNA
Source: RNAcentral